GCGGCUCAACCGUAAAAUUGCAGUUGAUACUGGGUGUCUUGAGUACAGUAGAGGCAGGCGGAAUUCGUGGUGUAGCGGUGAAAUGCUUAGAUAUCACGAAGAACUCCGAUUGCGAAGGCAGCCUGCUGGACUGUAACUGACGCUGAUGCUCGAAAGUGUGGGUAUCAAACAGGAUUAGAUACCCUGGUAGUCCACACAGUAAACGAUGAAUACUCGCUGUUUGCGAUAUACAGUAAGCGGCCAAGCGAAAGCGUUAAGUAUUCCACCUGGGGAGUACGCCGGCAACGGUGCAACUCAAAUGAAUUGACGG
RNAcentral lists this ribosomal RNA (310 nucleotides) under uncultured Bacteroidota bacterium. RNAcentral describes it as "bacterial SSU rRNA". It matches the Rfam family "Bacterial small subunit ribosomal RNA", at positions 604 to 916 of the family's 1533-position model. Lineage: Bacteria; Pseudomonadati; Bacteroidota. The record is from RNAcentral.